This 373-nucleotide ribosomal RNA is filed under the name uncultured Bacteroidota bacterium. RNAcentral describes it as "bacterial SSU rRNA". It matches the Rfam family "Bacterial small subunit ribosomal RNA", at positions 521 to 896 of the family's 1533-position model. Lineage: Bacteria; Pseudomonadati; Bacteroidota. The record is from RNAcentral.
UAAUACGGAGGGUGCAAGCGUUAUCCGGAAUCAUUGGGUUUAAAGGGUCCGCAGGCGGACAAGCAAGUCAGUGGUGAAAUCCCAUCGCUUAACGAUGGAACUGCCAUUGAAACUGUUUGUCUUGAAUUCGGUCGAAGUGGGCGGAAUGUGUCAUGUAGCGAUGAAAUGCAUAGAUAUGACACAGAACACCGAUAGCGAAGGCAGCUCACUAGGUCUGAAUUGACGCUCAGGGACGAAAGCGUGGGGAGCGAACAGGAUUAGAUACCCUGGUAGUCCACGCCGUAAACUAUGAUUACUCGUUUUCGGCGAUAUACAGUCGGAGACUAAGCGAAAGUGAUAAGUAAUCCAUCUGGGGAGUACGAUCGCAAGGUUG